AUCUAUUUAGCACAAUACUGCAUUAAAUUUAGAAUUUAAAGAUACUAA
This 48-nucleotide transfer RNA is filed under the name Macrothele calpeiana. RNAcentral's name for it is "tRNA-Leu". The record is from RNAcentral. Lineage: Eukaryota; Metazoa; Arthropoda; Arachnida; Araneae; Macrothelidae.